Molecule: unclassified non-coding RNA, 871 nt
Filed under: Bradyrhizobium sp.
Lineage: Bacteria; Pseudomonadati; Pseudomonadota; Alphaproteobacteria; Hyphomicrobiales; Nitrobacteraceae
Description: partial 16S-23S ribosomal RNA intergenic spacer
Rfam family: Bacterial large subunit ribosomal RNA (bases 755-871)
Source: RNAcentral
GAAACUUUMGCGAGCUUCGGCUCACUAUCGGAUCGUUUUAGAAACAUCAGGGGCCAACAGAUCGCCAGAUCGUUGAGCUCCAUUGGCGGGAUUUCGCCGUCUACGUUUCUCUUUCUUCGCGGACGAACACGCGCUGGGCCUGCAUGUGCAGGAACCCAUGGUCCUUAACGGGAUAAGCGUUAGGGGCUUGUAGCUCAGUUGGUUAGAGCGCGCGCUUGAUAAGCGUGAGGUCGGAAGUUCAAGUCUUCCCAGGCCCACCACACUCAUCGAGUGAGCAUUCGUCUUCUGGUUACGGGGCCAUAGCUCAGCUGGGAGAGCGCGUGCUUUGCAAGCAUGAGGUCGUCGGUUCGAUCCCGUCUGGCUCCACCAGAUGGUUUGAUCACCGAGAUCGUGCAUCGUCGUCCGCGAAACAUCACUUCGCAUCUUGCUAGUCUGGAUAGACAGCAAGUUGCGUGUUUUCUGACAUCGUAAAGAGGAGAUCGAUCCGAGUUGGGUCGUGCAGCAGAUUGUUGCGCGAAUCCUUCAUUAUCUCCGGAUCAUUUUCGGCGCUCGACGCUGACCGCAAGGUUGGCUGCGAGUUGUAAAAUGAUCCUUUUAGCGAAGCUUGACCGCCUCGCUAUCGGAACGAUCUUACGAAGCAAGCUGGUCUUUCUAAUCAUUGUCCGGCUGCAGAUAGCGUUCAUCGAGGGCGCGUGCCGCAAGGUAAUUCUGCAGACAACAUUCUGCCGAGUGUGUGGACAUUGAUAAUGAGAGCAAUCAAGUGCCUUAAGGGUGUUCGGUGGAUGCCUUGGCGCUGAGAGGCGAUGAAGGACGUGCUACGCUGCGAUAAGCCGUGGGAGCUGCGAAGAAGCUUUGAUCCGCGGAUUUCGUG